This 497-nucleotide ribosomal RNA is filed under the name uncultured bacterium. RNAcentral's name for it is "partial 16S ribosomal RNA". It matches the Rfam family "Bacterial small subunit ribosomal RNA", at positions 28 to 507 of the family's 1533-position model. The record is from RNAcentral.
GAUGAACGCUGGCGGCGUGCCUAAUACAUGCAAGUCGAGCGAACAGACGAGGAGCUUGCUCCUCUGACGUUAGCGGCGGACGGGUGAGUAACACGUGGAUAACCGACAUAUAAGACUGGAAUAACUUCGGGAAACCGGAGCUAAUACCGGGUAAUAUAUUGAACCGCAUGGUUCAAUAGUGAAAGACGGGUUUGCUGUCACUUAUAGAUGGAUCCGCGCUGCAUUAGCUAGUUGGUAAGGUAACGGCUUACCAAGGCAAGGAUGGGUAGCCGACCUGAGAGGGUGAUCGGCCACACUGGAACUGAGGCACGGUCCAGACUCCUACGGGAGGCAGCGGUAGGGAAUCUUCCGCGAUGGGCGAAAGCCUAACGGAGCAACGCCGCGUGAGUGAUGAAGGUCUUCGGAUCGUAGAACUCUGUUAUUAGGGAAGAACAAAUGUGUAAGUAACUAUGCACGUCUUGACGGUACCUAAUCAGAAAGCCACGGCUAACUACGUG